This 1350-nucleotide ribosomal RNA is filed under the name uncultured bacterium. Its description in RNAcentral is "bacterial SSU rRNA". It matches the Rfam family "Bacterial small subunit ribosomal RNA", at positions 28 to 1381 of the family's 1533-position model. The record is from RNAcentral.
AUUGAACGCUGGCGGCAUGCCUUACACAUGCAAGUCGAACGGUAACAGGUCUUCGGAUGCUGACGAGUGGCGAACGGGUGAGUAAUACAUCGGAACGUGCCCGAUCGUGGGGGAUAACGAAGCGAAAGCUUUGCUAAUACCGCAUACGAUCUACGGAUGAAAGCAGGGGACCGCAAGGCCUUGCGCGAACGGAGCGGCCGAUGGCAGAUUAGGUAGUUGGUGGGAUAAAAGCUUACCAAGCCGACGAUCUGUAGCUGGUCUGAGAGGACGACCAGCCACACUGGGACUGAGACACGGCCCAGACUCCUACGGGAGGCAGCAGUGGGGAAUUUUGGACAAUGGGCGAAAGCCUGAUCCAGCCAUGCCGCGUGCAGGAUGAAGGCCUUCGGGUUGUAAACUGCUUUUGUACGGAACGAAAAGACUCUGGUUAAUACCUGGGGUCCAUGACGGUACCGUAAGAAUAAGCACCGGCUAACUACGUGCCAGCAGCCGCGGUAAUACGUAGGGUGCAAGCGUUAAUCGGAAUUACUGGGCGUAAAGCGUGCGCAGGCGGUUAUAUAAGACAGGUGUGAAAUCCCCGGGCUCAACCUGGGAACUGCAUUUGUGACUGUAUAGCUAGAGUACGGCAGAGGGGGAUGGAAUUCCGCGUGUAGCAGUGAAAUGCGUAGAUAUGCGGAGGAACACCGAUGGCGAAGGCAAUCCCCUGGGCCUGUACUGACGCUCAUGCACGAAAGCGUGGGGAGCAAACAGGAUUAGAUACCCUGGUAGUCCACGCCCUAAACGAUGUCAACUGGUUGUUGGGUCUUCACUGACUCAGUAACGAAGCUAACGCGUGAAGUUGACCGCCUGGGGAGUACGGCCGCAAGGUUGAAACUCAGAGGAAUUGACGGGGACCCGCACAAGCGGUGGAUGAUGUGGUUUAAUUCGAUGCAACGCGAAAAACCUUACCCACCUUUGACAUGUACGGAAUCCUUUAGAGAUAGAGGAGUGCUCGAAAGAGAGCCGUAACACAGGUGCUGCAUGGCUGUUGUCAGCUCGUGUCGUGAGAUGUUGGGUUAAGUCCCGCAACGAGCGCAACCCUUGCCAUUAGUUGCUACGAAAGGGCACUCUAAUGGGACUGCCGGUGACAAACCGGAGGAAGGUGGGGAUGACGUCAAGUCCUCAUGGCCCUUAUAGGUGGGGCUACACACGUCAUACAAUGGCUGGUACAGAGGGUUGCCAACCCGCGAGGGGGAGCUAAUCCCAUAAAGCCAGUCGUAGUCCGGAUCGCAGUCUGCAACUCGACUGCGUGAAGUCGGAAUCGCUAGUAAUCGCGGAUCAGAAUGUCGCGGUGAAUACGUUCCCGGGUCU